This 3235-nucleotide long non-coding RNA is filed under the name Salmo salar (Atlantic salmon). Its description in RNAcentral is "lncRNA (ENSSSAG00000118722.1)". Lineage: Eukaryota; Metazoa; Chordata; Actinopteri; Salmoniformes; Salmonidae. The record is from RNAcentral.
GUGUGUGUGUGUGUGUGUGUGUGUGUGUGUGGACUGAUUAUGGACUGAGCUGUGAGAGUCUAGGUUGGAACCCUGGAGGUAGAAACACAACCCAACUCUGAACUGAACUCCCAGAAUGAGUCUAGACAGACGGAGGGAAACGGCCCCAUGAUAUAAGAGACUGGACUCAUAUGAACCACACAGACAUAUUGACAUAGAUAUUAUCUCCUGUUUGUAGCCACUAUCUCCAUUUCAAAGAGAUCUACUGAAGAGACUAUUAGAGAGAGAGACCAUACAUUUCCUUUAUUUGUGUGAGUAUUGGGCCGAGCAGAACCAAGGAUAGUAUGUGUGUUUCAGCUGCUGGUUCUGUUUUGGUUUACAGAUGCUGAAAUUGCCCUGAAGCCAUUUUUGAAUACAAAAACCUUCUCAUAAAAAAAACACACAGAAUGCUCAUGUAUGAAUUGGAUCCCAGGAAGUAUUCUGCCAUUUUGACAGAUACCUGAACAAUGAACAUGUUUACUUCACCUGUGUGUUUUGUGUAUCUCCCAAAGAUAGAUAUAUAAUUUGUAAUGUGGAUAUUUCAGACAUUGGACAGAAUAGCACAAAAAGAACCCUGUAAGAUGUUGACCACGUUAAGCUCAAUAUGUAUUCAUUCUAUGCUAGCCUAAGCUUUCUGUUCUGCUGAUGCCUGACCGUGGGGUCUCAUGAAGACUGUAUUUAUACUGGGUUGUAAAUAACACUGAACUCAGAAGUGCAUCUCGUUUUACAUGUUUUGUGUCUUUCUGUUCUUGAGAAAAAGUGUGAUGCUUUGGAAAACACACCGUGAUUGUCAGUCUGUAGGAUAUGUCUAUGGUGUUGGUUUAGCUGCAUCUUUGGUUCAAUUGAUAUAUUGGUCCUUGUGUAUCUGAAGAAGCUGCAGUGCUCAGAACGACCUGCAGGGGUCUCCCUCCCACUGAGAAACACUAGAUCAGUUCCUAUAGAACAGGGCUGGCCAGUAUUCUAACAGAGGGUCGGUAUGGUGUAGGCUUUUGCUCCAGCCAAGCAGAAACACACCUGAUUCAAUAUCCUCUGGUGGAUGUUAUCAUUGGAUGUUGAUGCAACACCACACACAUCUUUAAAUGCAGUGUUAACCUACAGCAGGGUUUCCCUGUGGUGUAGUAGGAGCUACACGAAGGUAUACGCCCUGAACCCCACAGAGGUUUAAACAGUGGUGUAGUAGGAGCUACACGGAGGUAUACGUCCUGAACCCCACAGAGGUUUAAACAGUGGUGUAGUAGGAGCAACACGGAGGUAUACGCCCUGAACCCCACAGAGGUUUAAACAGUAGUGUAGUAGGAGCUACACGGAGGUAUACGUCCUGAACCCCACAGAGGUUUAAACAGUGGUGUAGUAGGAGCUACACGGAGGUAUACAUCCUGAACCCCAAAGAGGUUUAAACAGUGGUGUAGUAGGAGCUACACGGAGGUAUACGCCCUGAACCCCACAGAGGUUUAAACAGUGGUGUAGUAGGAGGUAUACGCCCUGAGCCCCACAGAGGUUUAAACAGUGGUGUAGUAGGAGCUACACGUAGGUAUACGUCCUGAACCCCACAGAGGUUUAAACAGUAGUGUAGUAGGAGCAACACGGAGGUAUACGUCCUGAACCCCACAGAGGUUUAAACAGGGGUGUAGUAGGAGCUACACGGAGGUAUACGCCCUGCGCCCCACAGAGGUUUAAACAGUGGUGUAGUAGGAGCUACACGGAGGUAUACGUCCUGAACCCCACAGAGGUUUAAACAGUGGUGUAGUAGGAGCAACACGGAGGUAUACGUCCUGAACCCCACAGAGGUUUAAUUAUGUGGUACAAUAGAGAAAGUAGCCUACACAAUCGCAAAGCACGUAAAAUAUAUUCACACGUUUGCUGCACACAGCCAAAUUUCAGCAGAAUUUCAUGGCAGUAAGAGCUGGUUGUCCCAUGGAGCAGCUCACAGCUGGUAGGUAGGACUUGCCUAGUUAAAUAAAGGUUAAAUGAAUCAAAUCAAAUGACAAUGGGUAAGCAAACCAGGUAUUGAAACCGUUUGGUCCAAAGUCUUGGUUGAAUCUUUGCAGUGUUCAAUUCAGUCAUCAUGUGCUGUUUUGAAUGAACAUUUCCAAAUGCUUUCCCAAGGAAAACGUCCUAAUUAAAGCUGCAAUAUGUAACUUUGGGCGACCCAACAAGUUCACAUUGACAUAUCUUUAACUCACAUUUCUUUCUCAUUGAAAGCAAGUCUAAUAAGUGGUAGAUAUGUUCUAUGUGCACUAUUUCUAUGCUUCCCAUUCUUAAGUUUAGUUUUUAUUUUGUUUUGUACACCAGUUUCAGAUGGCUGAAAAUACAAUAUUUUUGGUUAUGGAAAAUAUAUUGCAGAGGUUUAGAUGGUACAAAGAGACUCUAUACAAUUACUUAGUCACAUAAACUGAAAUUAACAGAAAUUAGGCGAACUUAGAAUUUUAGCAACCAGGAAAUGUCGGAGAUAUUUCUGUAUAGUGCAUCUUUAAAUGUUGACCGCAAGUUAGGCCUACGUGAUAUAAUUAUGAUUUGUAUCAAUCUGGAGGGCAUUUCUUUUGAAAACUCUUCCAUCACAUGUACUCUACUGUAGGUCUACAUUGUAGAGUACAGACACUGCCAGCCACAUGCUAUUUUGCUAGGUGCUUAAUUAUUUUAAAGGGCAACUAGACCCUCCCAAAAAUAUUCUUUUAGAUUUUUCCCAGACCUCAGAAAUGGUCUCCUUAUGUGGUAUAAGCAUUGAUGUGGGCUUAACAUGCAUUUGUUGUUUUUCUAUGAAAGAUUUUCUGUCAAAAUGAUGGUAUACUCACUUCUCCAGGCACCACUACACCAAUGGGUUUUCCUGUAUCUGUGAGUGAUUUCAUUUGGGACCUGAAUCUCCAACAGGCUUACUUCUGACAGGCUUGGUCUGUUUACUCGAUGGAUCAUCAUGCAUCACUCCCAUAGGCUGCUUCACUUGUCAAUCAUGUCUCUGCUAUCUCGCCCUCUAAUCUGCGAUAUCUCUCUCUCAAACACUCUGUCUCUCGUCGUCAACUCUUUCUUUCAGUAAGAUAUUAAGCAAGCUCUACUUCUCUUAUCCUACAGUAUCUUCACCUGUCUGACAAAUCAAGCAGAUGAGAAAAUAAAACAAUCUGAAGAGAACCACACAGGGUUGAAUUGAUGAAAGCUGAAGUCAUUUAGAAAUUUAACUUAUUGACUUAUUGUAAUGAAAUGUAACAUUAUUUUAAAUGAAAUG